UGGGGAAUCUUGCGCAAUGGGCGAAAGCCUGACGCAGCAACGCCGCGUGUGUGAUGAAGGUCUUCGGAUCGUAAAGCACUGUCGCGAGGGACGAAUAAGGGUCGGGAUAAUACCCCGGUCCCGAUGACGGUAACCUCGAGAGGAAGCACCGGCUAACUCUGUG
RNAcentral lists this ribosomal RNA (163 nucleotides) under uncultured bacterium. RNAcentral describes it as "partial 16S ribosomal RNA". It matches the Rfam family "Bacterial small subunit ribosomal RNA", at positions 355 to 507 of the family's 1533-position model. The record is from RNAcentral.